GACGAACGCUGGCGGCGUGCUUAACACAUGCAAGUCGAACGGAAAGGCCCUGCUUUUGUGGGGUGCUCGAGUGGCGAACGGGUGAGUAACACGUGAGUAACCUGCCCUUGACUUUGGGAUAACUUCAGGAAACUGGGGCUAAUACCGGAUAGGAGCUCCCGCUGCAUGGUGGGGGUUGGAAAGUCUCGGCGGUUGGGGAUGGACUCGCGGCUUAUCAGCUUGUUGGUGGGGUAGUGGCUUACCAAGGCUUUGGCGGGUAGCCGGCCUGGGAGGGUGGCCGGCCACAUUGGGACUGAGAUACGGCCCAGACUCCUACGGGAGGCAGCAGUGGGGAAUAUUGCACAAUGGGCGGAAGCCUGAUGCAGCAACGCCGCGUGCGGGAUGACGGCCUUCGGGUUGUAAACCGCUUUCGCCUGUGACGAAGCGUGAGUGACGGUAAUGGGUAAAGAAGCACCGGCUAACUACGUG
This 468-nucleotide ribosomal RNA is filed under the name uncultured bacterium. Its description in RNAcentral is "partial 16S ribosomal RNA". It matches the Rfam family "Bacterial small subunit ribosomal RNA", at positions 28 to 507 of the family's 1533-position model. The record is from RNAcentral.